UACGAAGGGGGCUAGCGUUGUUCGGAAUUACUGGGCGUAAAGGGCGCGUAGGCGGCGUGUCAAGUCAGGCGUGAAAGCCCCGGGCUCAACCUGGGAACCGCGCUUGAGACUGGCAUGCUCGAGUUCGGGAGAGGAUGGUGGAAUUCCCAGUGUAGAGGUGAAAUUCGUAGAUAUUGGGAAGAACACCGGUGGCGAAGGCGGCCCACUGGAUCGGUACUGACGCUGAGGUGCGAAAGCGUGGGGAGCAAACAGG
Molecule: ribosomal RNA, 253 nt
Filed under: uncultured bacterium
Lineage: Bacteria
Description: partial 16S ribosomal RNA
Rfam family: Bacterial small subunit ribosomal RNA
Source: RNAcentral